UUUCCGUAGGUGAACCUGCGGAAGGAUCAUAACAGAGUUCAUGCCCUCACGGGUAGAUCUCCCACCCUUGAAUAUUUAUACCUUAGUUGCUUUGGCAGGCCGUGGAAACACCAUGGGCUCCGGCUUAUGCGUGCCUGCCAGAGGAAACAAACUCUGUUUUUAGUGAUGUCUGAGUACUAUAUAAUAGUUAAAACUUUCAACAACGGAUCUCUUGGUUCUG
This 220-nucleotide unclassified non-coding RNA is filed under the name plant metagenome. RNAcentral's name for it is "partial contains small subunit ribosomal RNA, internal transcribed spacer 1, and 5.8S ribosomal RNA". The record is from RNAcentral.